RNAcentral lists this ribosomal RNA (324 nucleotides) under Triticum aestivum (bread wheat). Its description in RNAcentral is "partial small subunit ribosomal RNA". The record is from RNAcentral. Lineage: Eukaryota; Viridiplantae; Streptophyta; Magnoliopsida; Poales; Poaceae.
AUGAGGAUAGUGAGAUGGAACUGCCGGGGACUCGGGAACGGCCCGGCAGUUCGUGGCCUCUUGGAUCUCAAGAGGGCGGAGGAUCCCGAUGUUUUAUUUUUGUGCGAAACAAAGCUGUUAGAGAAGGAGUUGGAGCAAUUUAGGUGGAAGCUUGGUUUGGUGAACAUGUGUGCGAAGGGCUCAGAGGGAAGGAGUCGGGGUGUGGCUAUUUUCUGGAGAAGAGGAGUGAAUCUCUCCUUGCAUUCCCUGGGAAGGAGGCAUAUUGAUGCUGACAUAACGGAGCAAGACGGAUCUGUUUGGAGAAUAACGGGGGUGUAUGGAUAG